UGGGGAAUCUUGCACAAUGGGCGAAAGCCUGAUGCAGCGACGCCGCGUGGGGGAUGAAGCUUUUCGGAGUGUAAACCCCUUUCGAUCCGGACAAAUGCCUCGCAAGAGGAGUGACGGUACGGAUAUAAGAAGCCCCGGCUAACUACGUGCCAGCAGCCGCGGUAAUACGUAGGGGGCCAGCGUUGUUCGGAAUUACUGGGUGCAAAGGGUUCGUAGGCGGUGUGGCAAGUUGGGAGUGAAAUCUCUGGGCUCAACCCAGAGACGGCUUCCAAAACUGCCGUGCUUGAGUGUGGGAGAGGCUCGUGGAAUUGCAGGUGUAGCGGUGAAAUGCGUAGAUAUCUGCAGGAACACCCGUGGCGAAAGCGGCGAGCUGGACCACUACUGACGCUGAAGAACGAAAGCUAGGGGAGCAAAC
This 415-nucleotide ribosomal RNA is filed under the name uncultured bacterium. RNAcentral describes it as "bacterial SSU rRNA". It matches the Rfam family "Bacterial small subunit ribosomal RNA", at positions 355 to 773 of the family's 1533-position model. The record is from RNAcentral.